CAUAUGCUUGUCUCAAAGAUUAAGCCAUGCAUGUCUAAGUACAUACCUGCCUAAGGUGAAMCYGCGRAUAGGAUCAUUAAAUCAGUUACGGUUCCUUAGAUAUUAACAAUCUACAUGGAUAACUGUGGUAAUUCUAGAGCUAAUACAUGCACAAAAGCUUUGACCCUACGGGAAAAAGCGCAUUUAUUAGACCAAGAUCAAUGGGAUCCUUCGGGGUUCCUUUGUAUGGUGACUCUGGAUAACUGUGCUAAUCGCAUGGCCUAUGUGCCGGCGAUGAAUCUUUCAAGUGUCUGCCUUAUCAACUGUCGAUGGUAGGUUAUGCGCCUACCAUGGUUGUAACGGGUAACGGGGAAUCAGGGUUCGAUUCCGGAGAGGGAGCCUGAGAAACGGCUACCACAUCCAAGGAAGGCAGCAGGCACGCAAAUUACCCACUCCCGGCACGGGGAGGUAGUGACGAAAAAUAACAAUACGGGACUCUAAUGAGGCCCCGUAAUUGGAAUGAGUACAAUCUAAAUCCUUUAACGAGGAUCUAUUGGAGGGCAAGUCUGGUGCCAGCAGCCGCGGUAAUUCCAGCUCCAAUAGCGUAUAUUAAAGUUGUUGCGGUUAAAAAGCUCGUAGUUGGAUCUCAGUUCACGUUAAGUGGUCCACUUGCCGGUGGUUACUACUUAACUGAACAUCUUACAGACCUGUCUUGUGAUGCUCUUCACCGGGUGUCAUGAGCGAUCUGUACAUUUACCUUGAAAAAAUUAGAGUGCUUAAAGCAGGCGUAACGCCAGAAUAAUCUUGCAUGGAAUAAUGGAAUAGGACCUCGGUUCUAUUUUGUUGGUCUUCGGAAUCUGAGGUAAUGAUUAAGAGGGACAGACGGGGGCAUUCGUAUUGCGGCGCUAGAGGUGAAAUUCUUGGACCGUCGCAAGACGUACUACAGCGAAAGCAUUUGCCAAGAAUGUUUUCAUUAAUCAAGAACGAAAGUUAGAGGUUCGAAGGCGAUCAGAUACCGCCCUAGUUCUAACCAUAAACGAUGCCAACCAGCGAUCAGCCUGAGUUCUAUUAAUGACUCGGCUGGCAGCUUCCGGGAAACCAAAGUUUUUCGGUUCCGGGGGAAGUAUGGUUGCAAAGCUGAAACUUAAAGGAAUUGACGGAAGGGCACCACCAGGAGUGGAGCCUGCGGCUUAAUUUGACUCAACACGGGAAAACUUACCCGGCCCGGACACUGGGAGGAUUGACAGAUUGAGAGCUCUUUCUUGAUUCAGUGGGUGGUGGUGCAUGGCCGUUCUUAGUUGGUGGAGCGAUUUGUCUGGUUAAUUCCGAUAACGAACGAGACUCUAGCCUACUAAAUAGACUGUCGACUCAUUCGCGUUGACAGGACUUCUUAGAGGGACAGGCGGCGAUACAGCCGCACGAGACAGAGCAAUAACAGGUCUGUGAUGCCCUUAGAUGUCCGGGGCCGCACGCGCGCUACACUGAAGUGAUCAGCGUGCAUAGUUAACCCUCUCUGACAAGAGUGGGUAACCCAAUGAACCUUCUUCGUGAUAGGGACUGGGCAUUGUAAUUAUUGCCCAUGAACGAGGAAUUCCCAGUAAGCGUGAGUCAUAAGCUCGCGUUGAUUACGUCCCUGCCCUUUGUACACACCGCCCGUCGCUACUACCGAUUGAAUGAUUUAGUGAGGACUUCGGACUAGCCGGUGCAGCUGCCUUCGGGUGGCCGCGCUGUGCCGGAAAGAUGUCCAAACUUGAUCAUUUAGAGGAAGUA
RNAcentral lists this ribosomal RNA (1749 nucleotides) under Scaptognathus sp. 1 ARP-2018. RNAcentral describes it as "SSU rRNA". It matches the Rfam family "Eukaryotic small subunit ribosomal RNA". Lineage: Eukaryota; Metazoa; Arthropoda; Arachnida; Trombidiformes; Halacaridae. The record is from RNAcentral.